CCUGCAUUAGAUGGCGGACCCAUGUUGUUUGGUGGCACCCCUCCCAGGUUAUUGGGAGGCAUCUGAUUGUAGUUGUUGGGAGGCACCUGAUUGUAGUUGUUGGGAGGUGCCUGAUUGUAGUUGUUGGGAGGCCCAGAGUUCCAGUUGCUGCUUGGCGGGGGAUUAUUGUAGUUGUUUGGUGGACCCAUGUUGUGAGGCGGCAUUGGAGCCCUGUUGGGGGGUGGAGGACCCAUGUUGGGAGGCAUCGGGCCUGGACCCAUGUUGGGAGGUGGAGGACCCCUGUUGGGGGGUGGAGGACCCAUGUUGGCAGGUCCAGGUCCCGAAUUUGGGCCAGCUUGAUUAGGCAUAGGAGAUGGACCGGUAUUUUCCCUCCUCCUUUCAAAGUUCCUGGAUCUGUCAAAGUUACGAGGUCUGUCAUUACGUCUAUUUCUCUCAUUUGCUCGACUAUUGUUUCUUAUCCAUUCUUCAUGGUACUUGGGAUCAUAUGGCACAGCUUGGCCAUUAAUAAAAGGUUCACCUGCCAAAACAAACAAGAAAGCAAACAGAUCAUGUAUAAAAGAAAUUUUCUGGUUAACUCAGUUGAAAACAAUAGAAACAGGUAUACAAUGGAGAAAAAACACAUGCUGCAGUUUAAUAUUACUAUCACACUCGGUGACCAAACCACAAUUCUUGGAGUCCAGAAAUUAUGAAUUGAAAAUUUAACAUGGAUCAAUUUUUUUCGGAUGCAAUCAACACAAGAAACUGGUUAGUUCAUCAGCACUAAAGGUGAUGUUAUAUAUGAAAAACUCUGUACACAAUAUUGACUAGGGUUGCAGAAACUAGAAAGCCUUCAACAGGGGUUUUUGUAUUUCCCGGGUUCCAUAUAGCACUAGCACUGCUACAGCAUUAACUGCCCUUUAGGAUAACUUUCAUCGGUAACAUUCUAACGCCUCAAACUAUCCUUUGUCAGAAAAAAAGAAAGAAAUAGAUCAAAAAUCCAAAUUUCAGACUGCCAGAGAUAUUCCAGAAUGGGAUUUACGACUUAAAAUAAUCAAUUGCUAUAAAUAAUUUGUUUUUCAUUGAAAUGCAACUUGAAGAAACAAGCAUAUCCGUACCUCCGUAAUCUUUGUUCUUAACAUCCAAGUAAGAAUCAGGAAGUACCCAACGGACUCCAGGCAACUCUGCAAGAAUUUUAGAAAAAUACAUAUAUGAAAACCCAGACAAAGCACAAGGAAAUAAUAAAAAUCCCAACUGAGAAGCAGAAUCACCUUUGAUUUUGAGUGAAACCUCUUCAGAUACAAGUGCCCCAAAUGCAUAAUAGCACCUAGUUGAAACUGAGUAGAUCUUCAUUCUAGCUUCUUCCUCACUGCAGUUCAGCCGCCAACAUACAAGCAACGUAAACUUGGUUAUAUGAAUUGUCAUUGCAAAACAUAAAUCACAGAGAACACAAACAAUAGGAAUACAAUACAAUCCUAUUUGCUUUUGGUCUGUAAAAAAAAAAGUGAUCCAGACCAUGCUAUACCAGAUGUGAUUAAGACCAUACUAUUUACGAGAACAUUAAGAUCAUGCCACAAAGUGGUUAUAGUUUAAAUUUUGAGUAUCAAAAAUGAAGCUAAUGAGUUUUGCUUUUGUUAGAACGUCAAACCAUAUUGUUCAACAUUAAGAACAAUUGUACCCCCAAAUUCGGCCGAAAUAUAACAGUCCGAGAUUGCAAUUACAAAAUGAUUUCACAUCCUACAACAGCCGUAGCGAUCCCAAUUCAGACAAUAAUAAAAUAGUUGCAUGCAACAAUAAGCCAUUAUCUUUUACAGCACAGGAUAUAACAUAUAAUGUUCAAUAAUCGGGCAGGUGCGUAACACAAAACAGAACUAGUUUCAUACAACCAGAUAAUGCCAGAAUGUAGCAUGUGCAUACAACCCUCCCCACAACAGAGAAACAACCUCUUGUAUUUUCUCAAACAAAAGUUUACUGAUGCAAUACGAAUCAAAUUAACCCAAAACAUUACCGUAAUCGAAAAGGAGAAAAUUAAAAAGCUACACCUUCGUAAAAAUAAAUACAGAUAUAAACUGAAACUGUAUUAAAGAAACAAAUACACUAGAAAAGCCAUAUAAUUUAUUAAACUCUCAUUUCCAAUUUCUAACUUCUCAUAAUCCAAACACAUACAAAUAAAUAAAUAAAUGGUUACUUUAGACAGAAAACAAUGGAGGUGUUACCUUCCGACGACGGUAGCUAGGGUUUUGAUGUAGCUAUUGAUGAUCUCAUCCCUAGUGAUGUCACCCUGAGGGGGCUCCAUGACAACCAACCAGUGCUCGAAGUCACACCCAUCGAGGAGGAUCGUCUCCUUGGGAGGCCGGUUCGACCAGUUAGGGUUUGGGUCUCUGAGCGACGACGUGGUCGAUCUGGUGGACAAGCACCGGACGAUGGCAGGAGAGAGCCUGCCGGCGGAGGCCAUGACUCCGGCGAGGGGGCGGAGGCGGUGGAGGA
RNAcentral lists this long non-coding RNA (2463 nucleotides) under Malus domestica (apple). Its description in RNAcentral is "long non-coding RNA (MDOM_LNC010878)". The record is from RNAcentral. Lineage: Eukaryota; Viridiplantae; Streptophyta; Magnoliopsida; Rosales; Rosaceae.